GAAGGCCGCUGGAGUCAUAUGCAAAAGUUUCUGGAGAGGACUGGCCCUUCACACACCCAGACUUUGAACCUAGUGAGGAGACACUACAGUUUCUGUUGGAAACAUGCAAAAUCCUGGUCAUUGGAGCUGGGGGUCUUGGCUGUGAACUACUGAAAAACCUGGCUCUGUCAGGUUUUCGUCAUAUUCAUGUUGUGGAUAUGGACAUCAUUGAUCUCUCCAACCUCAACAGACAGUUUCUCUUUAGGUACGAACCAUUAAAGUGUCCAUUUAAA
Cyprinus carpio (common carp) is the source of this 272-nucleotide long non-coding RNA. RefSeq lists it as uncharacterized. Lineage: Eukaryota; Metazoa; Chordata; Actinopteri; Cypriniformes; Cyprinidae. The transcript has 3 exons. The record is from RefSeq and is a predicted model, not a curated record.